This 327-nucleotide ribosomal RNA is filed under the name uncultured eukaryote. RNAcentral describes it as "partial 18S ribosomal RNA". It matches the Rfam family "Eukaryotic small subunit ribosomal RNA", at positions 1470 to 1796 of the family's 1831-position model. The record is from RNAcentral.
CCCUUAGAUGUUCUGGGCCGCACACGCGCUACACUGAAGGAGGCAGCGUGUACUCCUGGAUCGAAAGAUUUGGGUAGCCCGCGAAUCUCCUUCGUGCUAGGGAUUGAGGUUUGCAAUUAUCCUUCAUGAACGAGGAAUUCCCAGUAAGUGCAAGUCAUAAGCUUGCGCUGACUACGUCCCUGCCCUUUGUACACACCGCCCGUCGCUACUACCGAUUGAAUGAUUUAGUGAGGACUUCGGACUGGGACCGAUGCGGCUUUCGGGCUGCGUCGGUAUUCUGGAAAGAUGUCCAAACUGUAUCAUUUAGAGGAAGUAAAAGUCGUAACA